AUUGCAAAGAGAAGCAUUUAUGGAGGUUUUUAAAAGGAGAGUUGGGUACUACGUUUUUGGUCCCAUCUGGAAUAUAAACCCAGGAAUGUCCUCAGCAGUGAGUGGUUCUGAGCUGGGCACGCUUUUCCUAAAAUGGUUUAUGACAGAGAAGCUGCGAAUCCCACUUGUUCUGUCCCGCCGUGCCAGGAACGUGAGUUUCCUCCAGUUGCUUGUGCCUGUUGCUUUCAAAUACCAAAGUUGUCGCCGUGGUUCAUCCCUGGUAGCAUCUGUGUGAAAUUCAGCCCUUGGGCAAGAGCUCUGACGGGGCUGUGAGAGCCGGGGCGGAGAGGAAGGAUGUUGUCUCCAAAAGGAGCUUUAUACCGAGGCCGAGGGGUAAGGAGGAGGCCACCCGCUUCUCCCGCCGGCCGCUUGCACACGGCAGCCUCUGGGGAGGAGGUAUCUCAGAAAGCGGCUCCGGUUUUGCCUGCGUUUAAGAGUCUCAGCUGUGGUUUUGUGGGCAGAAAGAUGAAUACUGUAACUCCAACGCCUCCCGGGGCGCCCUUUGGGGACGAUGCUCGUUGCAGCAGCUGGGACGUCGGGGCGGGGAGAAUCAUUGAUUUUCAGCCGUAUUACCUGGAAACCCGCAUGUGCUCGUCGCCCUCGGGAGGGAGGCGCACGGGGAGGAAGGAAUUUGCUGGAGACGAGAGCUCGGCUGGGAGCCAGCGGGCAGAAACGGCGAUCCUCCGUCAGCUUCGGCACCCUCGACCUCCCGGGGCUGAACCCAGGAGCCUCGCGCCGAGGUCUCCCCUCNNNNNNNNNNNGCUCUCCUGCUUCCUUGUCGCCUGAGAGCCGGAGGAAUUUCACGUGUCGCAAGCUGAGCUCCGCGGUGCUAGAGCAGCACAGCCAUCCCGGCCGCUGCCUGAAGCCCAAGUGGGGCGUCCAGCACCUUCGUGCCACUGCUGGCCGCGGGGACCGCACCGCAGCAGAGUGGGGCGGAGGGAAACGGCUCCUCUGGCAGCAAGGAAAAAACACCAAGACGCACAUGAACUAAUCCUCACGCACAGCAAGUACAAGAAGAGAAAGCACAGACAUAAAAGCAUCUCCUGUCGAUCCCUAGCUGUGUGGCAAAGGAAAUCCUGUACUAGUCUCUUAAAUUUUCUUUAACCUUCCAUAGUGCAAAUGGUACCUUAGCACAAAGCAGUCUCUCAUUACAGAAGUUUUUACAGUGAACAUUCAGCGUUCCCGAGUCAGAUGCUUCGCUCCGCUCCUGCCGUUUGGGAGGAAUCGCAUCUCCUCUUGCCAUCAGCUCCGGCCUUCGCGCUGCUCCUCGGCUCUGGCCCGGUGACAUUUGGGCGCCUGCCUCAGGGAGAAGGACGGGCACGCCGCGGGAACGGGCGCCGGCACCGCCGGGAGACGCUCCGGGAUCCUCCCGAGGAUCCUCCUGGGAGCCCAGGGAGCAGCUGGCGGAGCAACGCAGCCGCGCGCGG
Molecule: long non-coding RNA, 1466 nt
Filed under: Struthio camelus australis
Lineage: Eukaryota; Metazoa; Chordata; Aves; Struthioniformes; Struthionidae
Description: lncRNA (ENSSCUG00000000984.1)
Source: RNAcentral